GUUAAAAGCACCCAGAUCACCUCCUGAGACAGGGGUGUUGUGUGUCUCCUGAGUGCCCUGAGGUCCGGCGCCUUCCCGGAGUUCUAAAAGGAGCAGAGCAGCUGUGCUUGGUGGGUGGGACGCGCGGCCGAGGGCCAGGACUGAGCCUUCCUGCUGCGGACUGUGUUGUGUGAGCAGGUCGGGGAUCAAGCAAGAGUCUGUUUCUUUGAAGAAUUCCCCCAGGAGCCGCGUGUCAUGCCAGUGUUCUCUAAGAGGACAGAAAAUGUCUUCUGUUGCCAGAUGGAAGGGAAAGACGAGGAAGGGUAUACUGGAAAGGAGCUUGACGAACGCGUGAUUUUUCGAGAAAGUUGCCUGUAGAACAGACACCCUGAAACACAGGGAGCUAAUCAACCAUGACAAGAACAAAAGGCCAGCAGCCAGGGGAAGGGGAAAUAAGGAGCCUGGAUCAUCUGCAAAUUGGACUGUAGGCUCACGAACUGAUGGUAUCCCAAUUCACAGGGGCGAGAUGGUCUCGCUGUCCUUCACCCUCCUUGUAACUCAUAACAAAGACCUCCUGCAUGAGGUCCCUCCCCUCCAUGGAACCCACCCACCAGGGCAGAAGUGCAGAAAGUGUGGGGUGGGAGGGGAGGAAGGAACGGCAUGCAAAUCCCCACAGGUGCAGGAUGUAAAACGGAAGUGGCCCCCGGGGAGGCGAUGGGGCAGCUGUACCCACUUUGCAUAUACUCAUCGCAGGCUAAAGUUAGGUUCUGGCUCACACCACGUGGAGGGGCCACAUUCACCUACUCCCCACCACUGAGCAGGGGGCUUGUCUGGGCUUUGCUUAGGACGGGGUCUGGUUUGCCCUUUCAGAGUCAUAGAUUGGGCACCUGGUCAUCGUUGUUUGGGGUAAGGUCAGGGAAAAAUCACAACUGCUCCUUCCCUCCCCACAACCAAGUCUGAACAUCACAGAUUUAAAAUCUGCCUGAAACGGACCUGAAGGAUUGUCAUGUCUUGCCCAGUCAUCUUGAUGCUGUUAAGCCCAUCUCCUUCUUUGCUCCACCCCAUCUAAAACAUCACCAGAUCCCAUAAAAGAGGCCCCAACCUGGUAUUGCUCAUGGACCUCACCAGAACCGUUUCCACCAACCGGUCUCCUACAACAUUACUUGCUGCGCUCGGCACCCAUCCAACCCCUGACCCCACAAUGGGCCUUCGUUUUUGUGGUCUGGCCUCAGCCCUUACACCCAACGCUCAGCUUCUCUGGCCUCCAGUUUUGCUUUCUUCCUCAGCCAUGGUUUGCAUUCCUAUUGAAGCGAGCUGCCUUGAGCCACGCAGGCCCUGAGGUGUGCAGGACCCAGGCAGGUGGAGAAGGAUAGCCGCCCCAAAGACCAAAGCGGGAGGAUGGGUGACAGCCGAAGAGCCCAUGUGGAGAGGAGAUCUGUGGGCUGCAAGUGCCAAGUGGAGAUGCCUGCGCCCCUCAGGCUUGUUAGUGCCCCCCACCAGCUCCAGCCUCCUCUCAGCUGUGGGAUCUGAGCAGAACACUAAAGUCCAGGCCAGGGAACUAGGGCCCUAUUUGCCAGAUGCCAGGGGCACCUGUAUUGUGCUAAAGGCAUGGUGCCCCAUUGUGUCUUUGAAAGACUGCACAUUACACAGAGGAUUUAUUUAUUUUUUAGAAAGGGGUGGGAGGAAGAAAGGGUGGUGUUCCAGGCAGGAUGUGAGGCAUCCAGUCGCUGCCUUGUAUCAGUGGUUGUCAGGGAUGGACAAAGGCUUGUGCACAGCCUUCUCCGUGACCCUGUGUGAGUGGGAGGCGGGAGGGAGGCUAGCCGGGGUGGAGACUGAGGAGUGCUUGGAACCCCUGCCCCAUCUCCACCUCAGGCAGCCGGCCCAGACCCGCUGAGUGGGAGCACAUUCCUUUUUUGGUCCUGGAAAUUGAGGGCUAUUCUCUUGUCUGGAGAAAGCUAUAGAUUUUAAAGUCUUCCAGAACCGAGAGGCUGGUUGUGACGGGAUUCUGGUCACUAGAAUAACAGGUGAACACGAGGAUGGGC
Molecule: long non-coding RNA, 2021 nt
Organism: Equus caballus (horse)
Lineage: Eukaryota; Metazoa; Chordata; Mammalia; Perissodactyla; Equidae
Source: Ensembl